AUUCAUUGUGACGUCGCUCCGGACACGCUUGGGUAGUAAAUGAUUCGCGAGACAUAUUUCAAAUAUGGUGCUACCUAAAAAGCCAAUACAAUAACAUCACAUUGAAAUAGCUUUUAUUGAAGACAGAGGAACUAACAUAAUCUCUUUGCAAACUUAAUCUCAUCUGGCACAUAUUACACAACAAAAACAUAAAAGCAAAAAGCAGUUGUC
This is a non-coding RNA of Ciona intestinalis (vase tunicate), 210 nucleotides long. The record is from RefSeq and is a predicted model, not a curated record. Lineage: Eukaryota; Metazoa; Chordata; Ascidiacea; Phlebobranchia; Cionidae.